Molecule: ribosomal RNA, 253 nt
Filed under: uncultured bacterium
Lineage: Bacteria
Description: partial 16S ribosomal RNA
Rfam family: Bacterial small subunit ribosomal RNA
Source: RNAcentral
AACGUAGGAGGCGAGCGUUAUCCGGAUUUACUGGGUGUAAAGCGCGUGCAGGCGGUCGGCUAAGUUGGGUGUGAAAGCUCCUGGCUCAACUGGGAGAGGUCGCUCAAGACUGGCCGACUGGAGAGCAGUAAGGGAAGGUGGAAUUCCGGGUGUAGUGGUGAAAUGCGUAGAUAUCCGGAGGAACACCAGUGGCGAAGGCGGCCUUCUGGACUGCUUCUGACGCUCAGACGCGAAAGCUAGGGGAGCAAACGGG